UAGGGAAUCUUCCACAAUGGGCGCAAGCCUGAUGGAGCAACGCCGCGUGAGUGAUGAAGGCCUUCGGGUUGUAAAACUCUGUCUUCUGUGACGAAACAGUGCGUGAGUGGAAAGCUCGCACCUUGACGGUAACAGAGGAGGAAGCCACGGCUAACUACGUGCCAGCAGCCGCGGUAAUACGUAGGUGGCAAGCGUUGUCCGGAAUCACUGGGCGUAAAGCGCGCGCAGGCGGCGAUCUACGUCUGGGGUGAAAGCCCGGAGCUCAACUCCGGGACUGCCUUGGAUACGGGAUCGCUUGAGGAUUGGAGAGGCGAGGGGAAUUCCACGUGUAGCGGUGAAAUGCGUAGAUAUGUGGAGGACACCUGUGGCGAAGGCGCCUUGCUGGGCCAAUUUCUGACGCUGAGGCGCGAAAGCGUGGGGAGCGAAACAGGAUUAGAUACCCUGGUAGUCCACGCCGUAAACGAUGAGUGCUAGGUGUU
Molecule: ribosomal RNA, 479 nt
Filed under: uncultured Bacillota bacterium
Lineage: Bacteria; Bacillati; Bacillota
Description: bacterial SSU rRNA
Rfam family: Bacterial small subunit ribosomal RNA
Source: RNAcentral